Molecule: ribosomal RNA, 492 nt
Filed under: uncultured bacterium
Lineage: Bacteria
Description: partial 16S ribosomal RNA
Rfam family: Bacterial small subunit ribosomal RNA
Source: RNAcentral
AGUGAACGCUGGCGGUAGGCCUAACACAUGCAAGUCGAACGGCAGCACAGUAAGAGCUUGCUCUUACGGGUGGCGAGUGGCGGACGGGUGAGGAAUACAUCGGAAUCUACUUUUUCGUGGGGGAUAACGUAGGGAAACUUACGCUAAUACCGCAUACGACCUACGGGUGAAAGCAGGGGAUCUUCGGACCUUGCGCGAUUGAAUGAGCCGAUGUCGGAUUAGCUAGUUGGCGGGGUAAAGGCCCACCAAGGCGACGAUCCGUAGCUGGUCUGAGAGGAUGAUCAGCCACACUGGAACUGAGACACGGUCCAGACUCCUACGGGAGGCAGCAGUGGGGAAUAUUGGACAAUGGGCGCAGGCCUGAUCCAGCCAUACCGCGUGGGUGACGAAGGCCUUCGGGUUGUAAAGCCCUUUUGUUGGGAAAGAAAAGCAGCAGGUUAAUACCCCGCUGUUCUGACGGUACCCAAAGAAUAAGCACCGGCUAACUUCGUG